GCGUGCUUAACACAUGCAAGUCGAGCGAUGAAACUUCUUCGGAAGUGGAUUAGCGGCGGACGGGUGAGUAACACGUGGGCAACCUGCCCUAUAGAGGGGAAUAGCCUUCCGAAAGGAAGAUUAAUACCCCAUAAGAUUGUAGCUUCACAUGGAGCAGCAAUUAAAGGAGCAAUCCGCUAUAGGAUGGGCCCGCGUCGCAUUAGCUAGUUGGUGAGGUAACGGCUCACCAAGGCGACGAUGCGUAGCCGACCUGAGAGGGUGAUCGGCCACAUUGGGACUGAGACACGGCCCAGACUCCUACGGGAGGCAGCAGUGGGGAAUAUUGCACAAUGGGGGAAACCCUGAUGCAGCAACGCCGCGUGAGUGAUGAAGGCCUUCGGGUUGUAAAGCUCUGUCUUUGGGGACGAUAAUGACGGUACCCAAGGAGGAAGCCACGGCUAACUACGUGCCAGCAGCCGCGGUAAUACGUAGGUGGCAAGCGUUGUCCGGAUUUACUGGGCGUAAAGGGAGCGUAGGCGGACUUUUAAGUGGGAUGUGAAAUACUCGGGCUCAACCCGAGUGCUGCAUUCCAAACUGGAAGUCUAGAGUGCAGGAGGGGAAAGUGGAAUUCCUAGUGUAGCGGUGAAAUGCGUAGAUAUUAGGAAGAACACCGGUGGCGAAGGCGACUUUCUGGACUGUAACUGACGCUGAGGCUCGAAAGCGUGGGGAGCGAACAGGAUUAGAUACCCUGGUAGU
RNAcentral lists this ribosomal RNA (735 nucleotides) under uncultured Clostridium sp. RNAcentral's name for it is "bacterial SSU rRNA". It matches the Rfam family "Bacterial small subunit ribosomal RNA", at positions 42 to 794 of the family's 1533-position model. Lineage: Bacteria; Bacillati; Bacillota; Clostridia; Eubacteriales; Clostridiaceae. The record is from RNAcentral.